ACGCUGGCGGCAGGCUUAACACAUGCAAGUCGAACGGUAACAGGGAUUAGCUUGCUAAUCUGCUGACGAGUGGCGGACGGGUGAGUAAUGCUUGGGAAUCUGGCUUAUGGAGGGGGAUAACUACGGGAAACUGUAGCUAAUACCGCGUAAAAUCUUCGGAUUAAAGGGUGGGACUUUCGAGCCACCUGCCAUAAGAUGAGCCCAAGUGGGAUUAGGUAGUUGGUUAGGUAAAGGCUGACCAAGCCGACGAUCUCUAGCUGGUCUGAGAGGAUGACCAGCCACACUGGAACUGAGACACGGUCCAGACUCCUACGGGAGGCAGCAGUGGGGAAUAUUGCACAAUGGGGGGAACCCUGAUGCAGCCAUGCCGCGUGAAUGAAGAAGGCCUUCGGGUUGUAAAGUUCUUUCGGUGACGAGGAAGGUUGAUAGGUUAAUAGCCUAUCAAAUUGACGUUAAUCACAGAAGAAGCACCGGCUAACUCCGUGCCAGCAGCCGCGGUAAUACGGGGGGUGCGAGCGUUAAUCGGAAUAACUGGGCGUAAAGGGCACGCAGGCGGUGACUUAAGUGGGAUGUGAAAGCCCCGAGCUUAACUUGGGAAUUGCAUUUCAUACUGGGUCGCUAGAGUACUUUAGGGAGGGGUAGAAUUCCACGUGUAGCGGUGAAAUGCGUAGAGAUGUGGAGGAAUACCGAAGGCGAAGGCAGCCCCUUGGGAAUGUACUGACGCUCAUGUGCGAAAGCGUGGGGAGCAAACAGGAUUAGAUACCCUGGUAGUCCACGCUGUAAACGAUGUCGAUUUGGGGAUUGGGCUUUGAGCUUGGUGCCCGUAGCUAACGUGAUAAAUCGACCGCCUGGGGAGUACGGCCGCAAGGUUAAAACUCAAAUGAAUUGACGGGGGCCCGCACAAGCGG
This 908-nucleotide ribosomal RNA is filed under the name uncultured bacterium. RNAcentral's name for it is "bacterial SSU rRNA". It matches the Rfam family "Bacterial small subunit ribosomal RNA", at positions 33 to 932 of the family's 1533-position model. The record is from RNAcentral.